RNAcentral lists this ribosomal RNA (469 nucleotides) under uncultured bacterium. RNAcentral's name for it is "partial 16S ribosomal RNA". It matches the Rfam family "Bacterial small subunit ribosomal RNA", at positions 28 to 508 of the family's 1533-position model. The record is from RNAcentral.
GAUGAACGCUGGCGGCGUGCUUAACACAUGCAAGUCGAACGGAAAGGCCCUGCUUUUGUUGGUUUCUCGAUUGGCGAACGGGUGAGUAACACGUGAGUAACCUGCCCCUGACUUUGGGAUAACUUCAGGGAAAUGGGGCUAUUACCGGAUAGGAUCUCCUGCUGCAUGUUGUUGGUUGGAAAGUUUCGGCUGUUGUGGACGGACUCGCGGGUUAUCGGCUUGUUGGUGUGGUAGUGGCUUACCAAGGUUUUGACGGGUAGCCGGCCUCAGAGGGUGACAGGCGACAUUGGGUCCGAGAUGAGGCACAGACUCGGACGGGAGGCAGCAGUGGGGAAUAUUGCACAAGGGGCGGAAGCCGGAUGCAGCAAGGCCGCGUGCGGGAUGACGGUCUUCGGGUUGUAAACCGCUUGCGCCUGUGACGAAGCGUGAGUGACGGUAAUGGGUAAAGAAGCACCGGCUAAAUACGUGC